UAAUACCGGAUAUGACUACUGAUCGCAUGGUUGGUGGUGGAAAGCUCCGGCGGUGCAGGAUGAGCCCGCGGCCUAUCAGCUUGUUGGUGGGGUGAUGGCCUACCAAGGCGACGACGGGUAGCCGGCCUGAGAGGGCGACCGGCCACACUGGGACUGAGACACGGCCCAGACUCCUACGGGAGGCAGCAGUGGGGAAUAUUGCACAAUGGGCGAAAGCCUGAUGCAGCGACGCCGCGUGAGGGAUGACGGCCUUCGGGUUGUAAACCUCUUUCAGCAGGGAAGAAGCGAGAGUGACGGUACCUGCAGAAGAAGCGCCGGCUAACUACGUGCCAGCAGCCGCGGUAAUACGUAGGGCGCGAGCGUUGUCCGGAAUUAUUGGGCGUAAAGAGCUCGUAGGCGGCUUGUCACGUCGGAUGUGAAAGCCCGGGGCUUAACCCCGGGUCUGCAUUCGAUACGGGCAGGCUAGAGUUCGGUAGGGGAGAUCGGAAUUCCU
RNAcentral lists this ribosomal RNA (493 nucleotides) under Burkholderia pseudomallei. RNAcentral describes it as "bacterial SSU rRNA". It matches the Rfam family "Bacterial small subunit ribosomal RNA", at positions 164 to 671 of the family's 1533-position model. The record is from RNAcentral. Lineage: Bacteria; Pseudomonadati; Pseudomonadota; Betaproteobacteria; Burkholderiales; Burkholderiaceae.